RNAcentral lists this long non-coding RNA (247 nucleotides) under Malus domestica (apple). Its description in RNAcentral is "long non-coding RNA (MDOM_LNC018903)". The record is from RNAcentral. Lineage: Eukaryota; Viridiplantae; Streptophyta; Magnoliopsida; Rosales; Rosaceae.
AUCUAAUACAUUUACGCUUCCUUUACGUUACUCUAAUUCUUCCUCAUUCUUUGAGGAAUCUAUCCUUUAAUAUUUCUUAAAUACUUAAGAACUCACUUGACAGUUGCCAUGGUUCUGAUCCUGGGCUUGCACUGAUAUCGUCUUGUACCGUUCUAGGUACAACUCAUAUCAAUGUUUUUCAUACAAUAUGAAAUGCAUAAAUCCCCUUUAUGCGUAUGCAUAAAGGAUUCUAUUUACGCAUUAUUUC